GAACGCUGGCGGCGUGCUUAAUACAUGCAAGUCAAGGAGAACGUUUCCUUCGGGAAAUUAUUAAACUGGCGAACGGGUGAGUAACACGUAGGCAACCUGCCUUGAAGAUUGGGAUAACCCCGGGAAACCGGGACUAAUACCGGAUAAUGCACCAUUUUCUUCGGAAAAUAUUGUUAAAGCGGGCUUCGGCUCGCACUUCAAGAUGGGCCUGCGUCCGAUUAGCUUGUUGGUAAGGUAACGGCUUACCAAGGCUGUGAUCGGUAGCUGGUCUGAGAGGAUGAUCAGCCACACUGGGAUUGAGAUACGGCCCAGACUCCUACGGGAGGCAGCAGUAGGGAAUUUUGCGCAAUGGACGAAAGUCUGACGCAGCAACGCCGCGUGAUCGAUGAAGCUUCUAGGAGUGUAAAGAUCUGUCGUGAGGGAAGAAAAAUCUGGAUGUAAAUAAUGUUCAGACUUGACGGUACCUUACAAGAAAGCACCGGCUAACUUCGUGCCAGCAGCCGCGGUAAUACGAGGGGUGCUAGCGUUGUCCGGAAUAACUGGGCGUAAAGGGUCCGUAGGCGUUUUGCCAAGUUGAUCGUUAAAGCCACCGGCUCAACCGGUGAUCUGCGAUCAAAACUGGCAGGAUAGAAUAUGUGAGGGGAAUGUGGAAUUCCUGGUGUAGCGGUGACAUGCGUAGAUAUCAGGAGGAACACCAAUGGCGAAGGCAGCAUUCUGGCACAAUAUUGACGCUGAGGGACGAAAGCGUGGGGAGCGAACAGGAUUAGAUAC
This 771-nucleotide ribosomal RNA is filed under the name uncultured bacterium. RNAcentral describes it as "bacterial SSU rRNA". It matches the Rfam family "Bacterial small subunit ribosomal RNA", at positions 31 to 785 of the family's 1533-position model. The record is from RNAcentral.